GUUAAAAAGCUCGUAGUUGGAUUUCGGGUGGGAACGAGCGGUCCGCCGUUCCGGUGUGUACUGUUCGCGCCCAUCUUGCUGUCGGGGACGCGCUCGUGGCCUUAACUGGUUGUGACGUGGAAUCGGCGAUGUUACUUUGAAAAAAUUAGAGUGUUCAAAGCAGGCUUACGCAUUGAAUACAUUAGCAUGGAAUAACGCGAUAGGACUCCGAUCCUAUUGUGUUGGUCUUCGGGACCGGAGUAAUGAUUAAGAGGGACAGUUGGGGGCAUUCGUAUUUCAUUGUCAGAGGUGAAAUUCUUGGAUUUAUGAAAGACGAACUUCUGCGAAAGCAUUUGCCAAGGAUGUUUUCAUUAAUCAAGAACGAAAGUUGGGGGCUC
Molecule: ribosomal RNA, 377 nt
Filed under: uncultured marine eukaryote
Lineage: Eukaryota
Description: SSU rRNA
Rfam family: Eukaryotic small subunit ribosomal RNA
Source: RNAcentral